CCUACGGGAGGCAGCAGUGGGGAAUUUUGGACAAUGGGCGCAAGCCUGAUCCAGCAAUGCCGCGUGAGUGAAGAAGGCCUUCGGGUUGUAAAGCUCUUUUGUCAGGGAAGAAACGGUGGGGGCUAAUAUCCCCUGCUAAUGACGGUACCUGAAGAAUAAGCACCGGCUAACUACGUGCCAGCAGCCGCGGUAAUACGUAGGGUGCAAGCGUUAAUCGGAAUUACUGGGCGUAAAGCGUGCGCAGGCGGUUUUGUAAGUUUGUCGUGAAAUCCCCGGGCUCAACCUGGGAAUGGCGAUGAAGACUGCAAGGCUAGAAUCUGGCAGAGGGGGGUAGAAUUCCACGUGUAGCAGUGAAAUGCGUAGAGAUGUGGAGGAACACCGAUGGCGAAGGCAGCCCCCUGGGUCAAGAUUGACGCUCAUGCACGAAAGCGUGGGGAGCAAACAGGAUUAGAUACCCUGGUAGUCCACGCCCUAAACGAUGUCUACUAGUUGUCGGGUUUUAAUUAACUUGGUAACGCAGCUAACGCGUGAAGUAGACCGCCUGGGGAGUACGGUCGCAAAGNUUAAAACCUUCAAAUGAGUUAGUAGCGNGNGAGNGCGAGACGACACGAGGAGGAGG
RNAcentral lists this ribosomal RNA (619 nucleotides) under uncultured bacterium. RNAcentral describes it as "bacterial SSU rRNA". It matches the Rfam family "Bacterial small subunit ribosomal RNA", at positions 338 to 950 of the family's 1533-position model. The record is from RNAcentral.